GGGCGAGUAGCUCAGCACGGAUAAUCAAACCGUUUUCCAUGAAUCUUUGCAGUAUCGGUUAUGGUUUGGUCCGGAUAGAGCACCAGCCUCCUAAGUUGGGGGUCGAGGGUUCAAAUCCCUCCUCGUCCGCCA
RNAcentral lists this transfer RNA (132 nucleotides) under Nitrososphaerota archaeon. RNAcentral describes it as "tRNA-Arg". It matches the Rfam family "tRNA". Rfam says of the family: Transfer RNA (tRNA) molecules are approximately 80 nucleotides in length. RNAcentral also lists the same sequence under 2 other names. Lineage: Archaea; Thermoproteati; Nitrososphaerota. The record is from RNAcentral.